AACGUAGGAGACGAACGUUAUCCGGAGUUACUGGGCGUAAAGGGCGUGUAGGCGGUUUGUUAAGUCUGGCGUGAAAGCUCUCGGCUAAACCGGGAGAGGUCGUUGGAUACUGGCGAACUAGAGGAUGGUAGAGGCGUGUGGAAUUCCGGGUGUAGUGGUGAAAUGCGUAGAGAUCGGGAGGAACACCUGUGGCAAAGGCGGCCGACUGGGCCGACCCUGACGCUGAGGCGCGAAGGCGUGGGGAGCGAACGGG
This 253-nucleotide ribosomal RNA is filed under the name uncultured bacterium. Its description in RNAcentral is "partial 16S ribosomal RNA". It matches the Rfam family "Bacterial small subunit ribosomal RNA", at positions 524 to 776 of the family's 1533-position model. The record is from RNAcentral.